UACGGAGGAUCCGAGCGUUAUCCGGAUUUAUUGGGUUUAAAGGGUGCGUAGGCGGUUUGAUAAGUUAGAGGUGAAAUGUCGGGGCUCAACCCCGAAACUGCCUCUAAUACUGUUGGACUAGAGAAUAGUUGCGGUAGGCGGAAUGUAUGGUGUAGCGGUGAAAUGAUUAGAGAUCAUACAGAACACCGAUUGCGAAGGCAGCUUACCAAACUAUAUCUGACGUUGAGGCACGAAAGCGUGGGUAGCAAACAGG
RNAcentral lists this ribosomal RNA (253 nucleotides) under uncultured bacterium. RNAcentral's name for it is "partial 16S ribosomal RNA". It matches the Rfam family "Bacterial small subunit ribosomal RNA", at positions 524 to 776 of the family's 1533-position model. The record is from RNAcentral.